UAAAAAGUUUUUUGUUUUGGUUCUGACAUUUCAUGAGGUCGAUAAUAUCAGAUUUAUUUUAAAUUAUUAUUAUGCUAUACAUGACAAUGUAUGUUCGUUGUAUGUUUCUGUGUGUUUAUAUUACAAAUAUAUGUGAGAUACGA
This is a long non-coding RNA of Melitaea cinxia (Glanville fritillary), 143 nucleotides long. RefSeq lists it as uncharacterized. The transcript has 2 exons. NCBI's taxonomy places the organism in Eukaryota, Metazoa, Arthropoda, Insecta, Lepidoptera, Nymphalidae. The record is from RefSeq and is a predicted model, not a curated record.